This is a non-coding RNA of Paramuricea clavata, 220 nucleotides long. The record is from the annotation of a GenBank genome assembly. NCBI's taxonomy places the organism in Eukaryota, Metazoa, Cnidaria, Anthozoa, Malacalcyonacea, Plexauridae.
UAAGUAUUAUUGCAUUACAGAAAUGAAUGUUGACUUGGGUACAAAGGCUUUCAUUCGUCAAAUCAUUCCUAUACACUUCGACACCUUGGAGACAACAUUGUCUAUAUUUGAGUACUCCAUUUAAUUUAAGUUGAUAAUCAACAAUAAUUUCUAGUUUCGUAUGUUACUUUCUCCCAUGUAUCCUCAGGAUCAGUGAUUAUAGAAUGUAGAUACAUACAAU